This 406-nucleotide ribosomal RNA is filed under the name uncultured bacterium. Its description in RNAcentral is "partial 16S ribosomal RNA". It matches the Rfam family "Bacterial small subunit ribosomal RNA", at positions 29 to 526 of the family's 1533-position model. The record is from RNAcentral.
AUUGAACGCUGGCGGCAGGCCUAACACAUGCAAGUCGAGCGAGCGGCGGACGGGUGAGUAAUGUCUGGGAAACUGCCUGAUGGAGGGGGAUAACUACUGGAAACGGUAGCUAAUACCGCAUACCAUCAGAUGUGCCCAGAUGGGAUUAGCUGGUAGGUGGGGUAACGGCUCACCUAGGCGACGCUCCCUAGCUGGUCUGAGAGGAUGACCAGCAACACUGGAACUGAGACACGGUGCAGACUCCGACGGGAGGCAGCAGUGGGGAAUAUUGCACAAGGGGCGCAAGCCUGAUGCAGCCAUGCCGCGUGUGUGAAGAAGGCAUUCGGGUUGUAAAGAACUUUCAGCGGGGAGGCGUUACCCGCAGAAGAAGCACCGGCUAACUCCGUGCCAGCAGCCGCGGUAAUUC